This 300-nucleotide unclassified non-coding RNA is filed under the name Hevea brasiliensis (rubber tree). Lineage: Eukaryota; Viridiplantae; Streptophyta; Magnoliopsida; Malpighiales; Euphorbiaceae. The record is from RNAcentral.
GUUGAAAUGGACAACUGCAGCAUUCCUAAUCUCUUCCAUGCUUAUGCUUGGGUUAUACCCAAGUCCAAGAACAUGCCAAGAUUUGUCCAAUGGCUUAGUGGUUGAAUAAAAUGUGAUCAGACCAGGUGGCAGUGUCCCCAAUUUCCACAGCGUCCGGUUCUCAUUCAAAUUCUGCCAAUAAUGGUACUGCUCAGUACACUUCUCCUUCCUCCACGCAUCCAAAUCGAAAAAAUUCAUCCCAUAAGCCCACCCGCACGCCUUCGGAUUAAAUCUCUCCUUAAUUAGCGGGUGUGAAAAAUU